Molecule: ribosomal RNA, 274 nt
Filed under: uncultured bacterium
Lineage: Bacteria
Description: partial 16S ribosomal RNA
Rfam family: Bacterial small subunit ribosomal RNA
Source: RNAcentral
AUACGGAGGGUGCAAGCGUUACUCGGAAUCACUGGGCGUAAAGCGCGCGCAGGCGGUCUUUUAAGUUGGAUGUGAAAGCCUACGGCUCAACCGUAGAACUGCAUCCAAAACUAUUAGACUAGAGUCUGGGAGGGGAAGAUGGAAUUAGUUGUGUAGGGGUAAAAUCCGUAGAGAUAACUAGGAAUACCAAAAGCGAAGGCGAUCUUCUGGAACAGUACUGACGCUGAGGCGCGAGAGCGUGGGGAGCAAACAGGAUUAGAUACCCUAGUAGUCC